Molecule: ribosomal RNA, 403 nt
Filed under: uncultured bacterium
Lineage: Bacteria
Description: bacterial SSU rRNA
Rfam family: Bacterial small subunit ribosomal RNA
Source: RNAcentral
UGGGGAAUCUUGGACAAUGGGGGCAACCCUGAUCCAGCGAUGCCGCGUGAAUGAAGAAGGCCCUUGGGUUGUAAAGUUCUUUCACCUGUGACGAUAAUGACGGUAACAGGAGAAGAAGCCCCGGCUAACUCCGUGCCAGCAGCCGCGGUAAGACGGAGGGGGCUAGCGUUGUUCGGAAUGACUGGGCGUAAAGGGCGCGUAGGCUGUUUAUCAAGUCAGGCGUGAAAGCCUCGGGCUUAACCUGAGAACGGCGCUUGAUACUGGUAGACUUGAGGACGAGAGAGGAAAGUGGAAUUCCGAGUGUAGAGGUGAAAUUCGUAGAUAUUCGGAGGAACAUCAGAAGCGAAGGCGGCUUUCUGGCUCGUCCCUGACGCUGAGGCGCGAAAGCGUGGGGAGCAAACAG